This 666-nucleotide long non-coding RNA is filed under the name Homo sapiens (human). Its description in RNAcentral is "HSALNT0364650". Lineage: Eukaryota; Metazoa; Chordata; Mammalia; Primates; Hominidae. The record is from RNAcentral.
GAGGAGUUGAGAUCCUGCUUUCUCUUCAGAAUGCCAUCUCUAGGAUGCCAAUGGGCUGUGUCUACAGUACUAUGUAGGAAAGUGCUGCAAGAGUGACUCUGGAAGGUUGUGCUGAGAACUCUGAAGGCUUGCUGUGACUUUUUGGUUCUUUCUGUCACCUCUCUGAAGACCUGGUUCAUAUCUGCAGCUGCAACUCUAUCCCUGAACUCAUCUUUGAAACUACCCAGAGAUAGACUGUCAAGAGCUUCAGAGCUUUACAACAGGAUCUUCCAAGUGCCCUGAGAGGUCAUGAUGGAGCCAAUAGAAAUAAAUCAUACAAAACAAAGCCAGAACCUGGUGGGAGGGAUGCUUACAAAACAACAUAAACGAGAAGUUGUCUGAAAAAAAAUUGUAUGGAAGGAAGAAGAGAUGAGAUAAGGGAAAUGAACUCAUAAUAGCCCCAGUUAAAAUACUUACAGUAAAAUAUCAUUAGUACUACUUGAUGUUGGUGAAAGGCUCUAGACUCAAGUCAGAAGGCCCAAUUUGUUGCUGUGAUUUCUUGAACAAAUUAUGUAAUUGUGUUGAGAUUCAGUUUUCUUUUCUAUCAUUGGGUAUUAAUAACUUCUAUGUGAUGUCAGAGUUAUGAUGUGAAGUUAAAAUAACUAAUAAAUGGGUAAACCCUGAAAA